RNAcentral lists this transfer RNA (72 nucleotides) under Felis catus (domestic cat). It matches the Rfam family "tRNA". Rfam says of the family: Transfer RNA (tRNA) molecules are approximately 80 nucleotides in length. Lineage: Eukaryota; Metazoa; Chordata; Mammalia; Carnivora; Felidae. RNAcentral also lists the same sequence under 2 other names. The record is from Rfam by way of RNAcentral.
GCCCAGCUGGCUCAGUGAGUACAGCAUGCAACUCUUGACCUUGGGAUAUGAGUUCGAGUCCCAUGUUGGGCA